AUGAGGUUUGGUGCACUGCUUUGGCUCUUUAUAGGGUCUUCAUGUGGGAUGACCACUCAGAUACCGGAGACAACACCAACAACAGAGACUGAAAUAACUACAACCAUCGACCAAGACCAAGGAAGUGGUUUGUUGGAAGUGGAGCAGGAAGAGGAGCUGGGGGACACGUACUGGUCUGGGACAGCGCCUCUGUGUUUCGGGGGCUGCAGGGGGCGACACAGGGAGCUGAAGAAGGACAGCUGUGGAGAUUCAAGCUGCUGCUGGGUGGGCUACAAGUCUCUUUGCAGGGUUAACUGUGGCCCGCCAGACGUGGACUUUAAUGGGGUGGUGUUUGGUAAUGACUGGUGGGUGGGCUCCGUGGUGAGAUACGAGUGCAGGCCAGGCUUUGUGCUGGUGGGGGACCCAGCACGGGCCUGCCAGUCUAAUGGGAAAUGGACUCCGAAGCCGUCCUGCCUCAGAGUGUGUCGGCGUGGUCGGGUGGAGUUAAGUGAGAAGGAAAUUGAUGGAGCGUGUACCUCCACCUGCCCACCCAAGAACUACUCCGGCUCUGGCUCCCAGAGCCACGGCUGCAAUCGCAUCGAUAACUGCAAGACCAAAGAGGCGAACUGGAAAAGCUGGUUUACAGGCUGUGCUUACUGCGAGUGUGACUGCUAUAUACCCUGUGUUUCAGCAUCACCAGGGUAGAAGAUUUUCUCUUUCUCCCUCUCUGUGAUUUGGACAUUCUGAGCAGCGAUGGAUAAUCACGUCUUCACAAGGCAUCGGAAAUCAGCCCUUUCCUGGAUUAUUCUGUUUGAAACUUCCCAAUUCAAAUCAAAGGCUGUUUAAAUCAAAGAAGGUUAUUCACAAAAAGUCUUCUUUCUUUUCAGAAGAAACAUUCUUAUCAGCUUGUGUGGUGAUACAAAAAAAGAUAUCCAUAUUGGACCUAUUUGAUUGACCACUGACCACAUCCAGCCAUUCUGAACGAUUGUUUCUCAGUCUGCACUGAUGUGUUUGAAGGCGGGUGUUUGAAGAAGCCCCCCUGCUGUAUUCACGUUUCAGCAGGGAUUAAAGUCAAUGACCUGGACAGUCUGCUCUAGUCUGAGCUCAGUAUGAACCUGAGGACUUAAUCUUGUUACCAGCCAACACAGGAGACUGUCUCUGUGAACUCUGUGCUGCUUCACUUUUUCACGACUACAUACUACUACGCGUGGCACCAGAAGCCCUGGACUAGAUAUUAUCAGCAUUGAUAGGAGUGUGUCAGCCCUAAUACAAUACUUCGCUGAGAUACACUGUGUGGACAAAAGUAUUGAGACACCUGCUUAUGCAUUGUUUCUUGCAAUAUUAUGGACAUUAACUACUUCAAAAUUCACUUCUGCAAACUUUGAGGCUCUGUUUAGGUUAGAAUAUUGUUGCUGAUUAGUCAAAAACAAAUAUUAAAGUUUUUGCAAUUUCUUUGGGGAUCAGUAAAGUUCUAUCUGUCUGUCUAUCUUUCUGUCUGUCUUGUCCAUGUUUAUAUUACUGAGACUGUCCUUCACACCGUGUAGAAAUGUAAUGAUGAAGAGAACAUUUUUACAAUUACUAUUUUUGCAUUAACUUUGAUUAAAAGUAAUGUUUCCUGUACAGUUUUCUUAAGGCAAUCAUAUAUUUUUUGGUGGUUCAUAUUUUGGUCCCAAUCUCAUCACAUCCUGGCUCUAAUUAGCUUUAAGAAAAGUCAUUAGCCUAGGGCAGAGGUGUCCAAACUAUGGCCCGCGGGCCACUUGCGGCUCGUUUCCUAUUUUGGAGCGGCCCCCGAGGUAUUUUAGAAAUAGAAUGAAAGUUGGCCCGCUGUUAAGCAGGUUUUUAUAAUGUGAGAUUCAAAGUUUGAACGCUAGGUGUCAGAAAAGGGCCAAAGAGUCUAAAAGCGGCGAGAAUGAGCAGUUGUAGCGCAGAAAAAUGGGCCAAAGAGUCUAAAAGGGGCGAGAGUGUUCAGUUGUAGCGCAGAAAAACGGGCCAAAGAGUCAAAAAGUGGAGAGGGUGCUCAGUUGUAGCACAGAAAAACAGUGCAAAGAGUCUAAAAGGGGCGAGAGUGUUCAGUUGCAGUGCAGAAAAACGGGCCAAAGAGUCUAAAAGUUGCCGUAAUUAAGGAGUUUAAUAUUAAGAGUCAUCAUGGAAGGAAACAUCAAUUUGAAAAAUCUUAGUUUACACAACACUGUCAAAGAUAGAUAAAAAGAUAGUUAGUCAAGUAAAAUGGUGUGUAUGUCACCGGGGAAAGGACGCACACCAAAUGACAAAAUACGUUUUUUUCGGGUAUUUUAUUCUGAUUAAAUUGUACUCAAAUCAAUAAAAAUAAAAGGAAUACACUGUAAAACCCUAGC
Molecule: long non-coding RNA, 2333 nt
Filed under: Astyanax mexicanus (Mexican tetra)
Lineage: Eukaryota; Metazoa; Chordata; Actinopteri; Characiformes; Acestrorhamphidae
Description: lncRNA (ENSAMXG00005007823.1)
Source: RNAcentral